AGCAGCCGCGGUAAUUCCAGCUCCAAUAGCGUAUAUUAAAGUUGUUGCAGUUAAAAGCUCGUAGUUGAAUUUCGGGAUCAGUUGGUCGGUCGUGCCUCGGUACGUACUGGUCAAAUUGAUUCCUACCUUCUGACGAACCACGAUGUCAUUAAUUUGGUGUCGCGGGAAAUCAGGACUGUUACUUUGAAAAAUUGAGUGUUUAAAGCAGGCUCGCGCUUGAAUACAUUAGCAUGGAAUAAUGAAAUAGGACGUUUGAUUCUAUUUUGUUGGUUUCUAGGAUCGACGUAAUGAUUAAUAGGGAUAGUUGGGGGCAUUAGUAUUCAAUUGUCAGAGGUGAAAUUCUUGGAUUUAUUGAA
This 356-nucleotide ribosomal RNA is filed under the name uncultured Glomeromycotina. RNAcentral's name for it is "SSU rRNA". It matches the Rfam family "Eukaryotic small subunit ribosomal RNA", at positions 569 to 933 of the family's 1831-position model. The record is from RNAcentral. Lineage: Eukaryota; Fungi; Glomeromycota.